RNAcentral lists this ribosomal RNA (467 nucleotides) under uncultured bacterium. Its description in RNAcentral is "partial 16S ribosomal RNA". It matches the Rfam family "Bacterial small subunit ribosomal RNA", at positions 28 to 506 of the family's 1533-position model. The record is from RNAcentral.
GACGAACGCUGGCGGCGUGCUUAACACAUGCAAGUCGCACGGAAAGGCUCCGCCCUUGUGGGGUGCUCGAGUGGCGAACGGGUGAGUAACACGUGAGUAACCUGCCCUUGACCUUGGGAUACCUCCAGGAAAAUGGGGCUACUACCGGACAGGAGCUCCUGCUGCAUGGUGGGGGUUGGCCAGCCGCGGCGGUUGGGGCUGGAUUCGCGGCUUAUCAGCUUGCUGGUGGGGUAGUGGCCUGCCAAGGCCUUGACGGGUAGCCGGCCGGAGUGGGUGACCGGCCACAUAGAGAGGGAGUUACAGCCCAGACUCCUUCGUGAGGCAGGAGGGAGGAGGAAAGCACAGUGGGCGGGAGCAAGAUGCAGCAACGCCGGGUGCGGGAUGGCAGCCGGCGGGUUGUAAGCCGCGUUCGCCUGUGACGGAGCGUGGGGGACGUUAAUGGGGAAGGAAGCACCGGCUAACUACGU